UGCGCAGGCGGGGAUGUAAGUCAGUGUUGAAAUACUGCCGCUCAACGGUAGAACUGCCAUUGAUACUGCAUCUCUUGAGUAUGGUUGAGGUAGGCGGAAUGUGUUGUGUAGCGGUGAAAUGCAUAGAUAUGGCACAGAACGCCAAUUGCGAAGGCAGCUUACUAAACCAUUACUGACGCUGAGGCACGAAAGCGUGGGGAGCGAACAGGAUUAGAUACCCUGGUAGUCC
RNAcentral lists this ribosomal RNA (229 nucleotides) under uncultured bacterium. RNAcentral describes it as "partial 16S ribosomal RNA". It matches the Rfam family "Bacterial small subunit ribosomal RNA", at positions 568 to 796 of the family's 1533-position model. The record is from RNAcentral.